Molecule: ribosomal RNA, 501 nt
Filed under: uncultured bacterium
Lineage: Bacteria
Description: partial 16S ribosomal RNA
Rfam family: Bacterial small subunit ribosomal RNA
Source: RNAcentral
AUUGAACGCUGGCGGCAGGCUUAACACAUGCAAGUCGAGCGGGGGAAGGUAGCUUGCUACCGGACCUAGCGGCGGACGGGUGAGUAAUGCUUAGGAAUCUGCCUAUUAGUGGGGGACAACAUCUCGAAAGGGAUGCUAAUACCGCAUACGUCCUACGGGAGAAAGCAGGGGAUCUUCGGACAUUGCGCUAUGAGAUGAGCCUAGGUGGGAUUAGGUGGUGGGUGGGGUAAAGGCCUACCAAGGCGACGAUCUGUAGCGGGUCUGAGAGGAUGAUCCGCCACACUGGGACUGGGACACGGCCCAGACUCCUACGGGAGGCAGCAGUGGGGAAUAUUGGACAAUGGGGGGAACCCUGAUCCAGCCAUGCCGCGUGUGUGAAGAAGGCCUUAUGGUUGUAAAGCACUUUAAGCGAGGAGGAGGCUACUUUAGUUAAUACCUAGAGAUAGUGGACGUUACUCGCAGAAUAAGCACCGGCUAACUCUGUGCCAGCAGCCGCCGUAA